RNAcentral lists this ribosomal RNA (486 nucleotides) under uncultured bacterium. Its description in RNAcentral is "partial 16S ribosomal RNA". It matches the Rfam family "Bacterial small subunit ribosomal RNA", at positions 30 to 507 of the family's 1533-position model. The record is from RNAcentral.
AUUGAACGCUGGCGGCAUGCCUUACACAUGCAAGUCGAACGGCAGCACGGGUGCUUGCACCUGGUGGCGAGUGGCGAACGGGUGAGUAAUACAUCGGAACAUGUCCUGUAGUGGGGGAUAGCCCGGCGAAAGCCGGAUUAAUACCGCAUACGAUCCACGGAUGAAAGCGGGGGACCUUCGGGCCUCGCGCUAUAGGGUUGGCCGAUGGCUGAUUAGCUAGUUGGUGGGGUAAAGGCCUACCAAGGCGACGAUCAGUAGCUGGUCUGAGAGGACGACCAGCCACACUGGGACUGAGACACGGCCCAGACUCCUACGGGAGGCAGCAGUGGGGAAUUUUGGACUAUGGGCGAAAGCCUGAUCCAGCAAUGCCGCGUGUGUGAAGAAGGCCUUCGGGUUGUAAAGCACUUUUGUCCGGAAAGAAAUCCUUGACUCUAAUACAGUCGGGGGAUGACGGUACCGGAAGAAUAAGCACCGGCUAACUACGUG